This 757-nucleotide ribosomal RNA is filed under the name uncultured bacterium. Its description in RNAcentral is "bacterial SSU rRNA". It matches the Rfam family "Bacterial small subunit ribosomal RNA", at positions 8 to 796 of the family's 1533-position model. The record is from RNAcentral.
AGAGUUUGAUCAUGGCUCAGAAUCAACGCUGGCGGCGGCCUAACACAUGCAAGUCGAACGAGAAAGCAGGAGCAAUCUUGUGAGUAAAGUGGCGUACGGGUGAGUAACACGUGGAUCAUCUACCCUCUUGUGGGGGAUAACUCUGGGAAACCGGAGCUAAUACCGCAUAAGUCCGAGAGGAGAAAGCAGCAAUGCGCAGGAGGAGGAGUCCGCGGCCGAUUAGCUAGUUGGUAGGGUAAAAGCCUACCAAGGCUACGAUCGGUAGCCGGCCUGAGAGGGCACACGGCCACACUGGCACUGAAACACGGGCCAGACUCCUACGGGAGGCAGCAGUGGGGAAUCUUGCACAAUGGGGGCAACCCUGAUGCAGCGACGCCGCGUGAGCGAUGAAGCCCUUCGGGGUGUAAAGCUCUUUCGGCAGGGAAGAUUAUGACGGUACCUGCAGAAGCAGCUGCGGCUAACUACGUGCCAGCAGCCGCGGUAAUACGUAGGCAGCGAGCGUUGUUCGGAGUUACUGGGCGUAAAGGGUGUGUAGGCGGUCUUCUAAGUCUGGUGUGAAAUCUCCCGGCUCAACUGGGAGGGUGCGCCGGAAACUGGAAGGCUAGAGUGCGGGAUGGGAGAGUGGAAUUCCUGGUGUAGCGGUGAAAUGCGUAGAUAUCAGGAGGAACACCUGUGGUGUAGACGGCUCUCUGGACCGCAACUGACGCUGAGACACGAAAGCGUGGGUAGCAAACAGGAUUAGAUACCCUUGUAGUCC